CAAAGGCUUGGUCCUGACUUUAUUAUCAGCUUUAGCUAGACUUACACAUGCAAGUAUCCGCACCCCCGUGAGAAUGCCCUACAGUUUCCCGUCCGGAAACAAGGAGCUGGUAUUAGGCACAUCCAUAUUAGCCCACGACACCUUGCUUAGCCACACCCUCAAGGGAACUCAGCAGUGAUAAACAUUAAGCCAUAAGUGAAAACUUGACUUAGUUAAAGCUAAGAGGGCCGGUUAAACUCGUGCCAGCCACCGCGGUUAUACGAGAGGCCCAAGUUGAUAAACCCCGGCGUAAAGAGUGGUUAAGAUAGAUUAAACACUAAGGCCGAACGCCCCCUAGGCUGUUAUACGCAUCCGGGGGUAAGAAGUUCAACCACGAAAGUGGCCUUAUACUCCCUGAACCCACGAAAGCUAGGAUACAAACUGGGAUUAGAUACCCCACUAUGCCUAGCCCUAAACAUCGAUAGUGCAAUACAUCCACUAUCCGCCUGGGUACUACGAGCGUCAGCUUAAAACCCAAAGGACUUGGCGGUGCUUUAGACCCACCUAGAGGAGCCUGUUCUGGAACCGAUACCCCCCGUUCAACCUCACCCCUCCUUGUUUUUCCCGCCUAUAUACCGCCGUCGUCAGCUUACCCUGUGAAGGUUAUGUAGUAAGCAAAAUUGGCAUAGCCCAAAACGUCAGGUCGAGGUGUAGCGCAUGGAAGGGGAAGAAAUGGGCUACAUUCCCUAUUUUAGGGAAUACGAACGAUGCUUUGAAACAAGCAUCCGAAGGAGGAUUUAGCAGUAAGCAGAAAAUAGAGAGUUCCGCUGAAACCGGCCCUGAAGCGCGCACACACCGCCCGUCACUCUCCCCAAAUCUACAAAAUCAAAUAACUAAACCCUAUAAGACACAAAGGGGAGGCAAGUCGUAACAUGGUAAGUGUACCGGAAGGUGCACUUGGAUAAAU
This 946-nucleotide non-coding RNA is filed under the name Cheilodactylus zonatus (blackbarred morwong). RNAcentral's name for it is "12S rRNA". It matches the Rfam family "Bacterial small subunit ribosomal RNA". Lineage: Eukaryota; Metazoa; Chordata; Actinopteri; Centrarchiformes; Cheilodactylidae. The record is from RNAcentral.